This 490-nucleotide ribosomal RNA is filed under the name uncultured bacterium. RNAcentral's name for it is "partial 16S ribosomal RNA". It matches the Rfam family "Bacterial small subunit ribosomal RNA", at positions 29 to 507 of the family's 1533-position model. The record is from RNAcentral.
AUUGAACGCUGGCGGCAUGCCUUACACAUGCAAGUCGAACGGCAUCGCGGGAAAGCUUGCUUUCCUGGCGGCGCGUGGCGAACGGGUGAGUAACACACCUGAACGUACCGUCUUUCGGGGGAUAACCCGUCGAAAGACUGGCUAAUACCGCAUACGCUCUUUGGGGGAAAGCAGGGGACCUUUUGGCCUUGCGCUCGUCUAGCGGCCGAUGUCCGAUUAGCUAGUUGGUGGGGUAAAGGCCUACCAAGGCGACGAUCGGUAGCGGGUCUGAGAGGAUGAUCAGCCACACUGGAACUGAGACACGGCCCAGACUCCUACGGGAGGCAGCAGUGGGGAAUCUUGGACAAUGGGGGCAAGCCUGAUCCAGCAAUGCCGCGUGGGUGAAGAAGGCCUUCGGGUUGUAAAGCCCUUUUGGCAGGGAAGAAAAGGGGGGGGCGAAUAACCCGGCGGGAUGACGGUACCUGAAGAAGAAGCACCGGCUAACUACGUG